AUACUUACCUGGCAGGGGAGAUACCAUGAUCAUGAAGGUGGUUUUCCCAGGGCGAGGCUUAUCCAUUGCACUCCGGAUGUGCUGACCCAUGCGAGUUCCCCAACUGCGGGAAACUCGACUGCAUAAUUUGUGGUAGUGGGGGACUGCGUUCGCGCUCUCCCCUG
The sequence is a small nuclear RNA, 164 nucleotides long. Its record names the gene U1. It matches the Rfam family "U1 spliceosomal RNA". From Rfam's summary of the family: U1 is a small nuclear RNA (snRNA) component of the spliceosome (involved in pre-mRNA splicing). Its 5' end forms complementary base pairs with the 5' splice junction, thus defining the 5' donor site of an intron. The record is from Ensembl.